RNAcentral lists this ribosomal RNA (666 nucleotides) under Limosilactobacillus reuteri. RNAcentral describes it as "bacterial SSU rRNA". It matches the Rfam family "Bacterial small subunit ribosomal RNA", at positions 63 to 703 of the family's 1533-position model. Lineage: Bacteria; Bacillati; Bacillota; Bacilli; Lactobacillales; Lactobacillaceae. The record is from RNAcentral.
UGAUUGAUGGUGCUUGCACCUGAUUGACGAUGGAUUACCAGUGAGUGGCGGACGGGUGAGUAACACGUAGGUAACCUGCCCCGGAGCGGGGGAUAACAUUUGGAAACAGAUGCUAAUACCGCAUAACAACAAAAGCCACAUGGCUUUUGUUUGAAAGAUGGCUUUGGCUAUCACUCUGGGAUGGACCUGCGGUGCAUUAGCUAGUUGGUAAGGUAACGGCUUACCAAGGCGAUGAUGCAUAGCCGAGUUGAGAGACUGAUCGGCCACAAUGGAACUGAGACACGGUCCAUACUCCUACGGGAGGCAGCAGUAGGGAAUCUUCCACAAUGGGCGCAAGCCUGAUGGAGCAACACCGCGUGAGUGAAGAAGGGUUUCGGCUCGUAAAGCUCUGUUGUUGGAGAAGAACGUGCGUGAGAGUAACUGUUCACGCAGUGACGGUAUCCAACCAGAAAGUCACGGCUAACUACGUGCCAGCAGCCGCGGUAAUACGUAGGUGGCAAGCGUUAUCCGGAUUUAUUGGGCGUAAAGCGAGCGCAGGCGGUUGCUUAGGUCUGAUGUGAAAGCCUUCGGCUUAACCGAAGAAGUGCAUCGGAAACCGGGCGACUUGAGUGCAGAAGAGGACAGUGGAACUCCAUGUGUAGCGGUGGAAUGCGUAGAUAUAUGGAA